This is a long non-coding RNA of Neogobius melanostomus (round goby), 2944 nucleotides long. NCBI's taxonomy places the organism in Eukaryota, Metazoa, Chordata, Actinopteri, Gobiiformes, Gobiidae. The record is from Ensembl.
CAUACGCAUAGAUAGAUGAGUUCAAACUGUCACCACCAGUUGAAUUAAGCGUGUUUUUGUUUUGUGUUUGCUUUAAUUGCGUCCAUGUGAAGGUACUGCAAAUACUUCUAAAAAUGAAAAUAUUGAUAUACACUUGCCCAUAGGCUCCAGUGUGAGAACAGCACAGUUAUGAACUAAGUAGACCUACUUUAGGCAGCCAUCGUGAACGCCUGACUACCUCCAUCUGCUGGUGACUUUUAGAACAGCAGCAGAUAAAUAAACUGUGUAUAUCUAAGGUGAAAGUGAAACCAUUCUUCAGUGCGUCGCUUCCUGUUCCGAGUAGCUCAUCGUAAUGGCAUGCCCGAGAAACAACAAAGUAGAGAGUGUUGAAACAUCUAAUCCAGUCAAGCAGAAGCUGAAGAAAUUCUACCCGAUCGUGGCAGGGAAUACAAAAGACUGCCAUAAAAAAGUUGUCAAGAAACUUAAGAAAUAUGGAGCGAAGAAAGUGGACAGCGCUGAGAGAAGUGAAGUGGUGUUGAUCUUCUGUCCCAUCGUCAGUCGUUUUGAAUCGGACAUAAACGCUGCUCUGAGUGAACUCCAACUCAACGAAUGUACCAGGUCACCGAAACUCAUCAUGGUGGCCAUGCAUCACACACACAAGGCCGAUUACACCGUACCGCCCAAAAGAAAGCACAGCCACAACGGACAGGACGUCCCGGUGGCGCACUGUCUCUUUCACGAGACCAAGGGCCUCCUUCAGUGUCCGGCCAACAAGCAGGCUGUCAAAGCUAUCCGGAAAGAAGUAAGUCUAAGCAAAUCCUAAUCAGUUUGUUUAGAGUAGGAUAAACUUAACUUAAAACAGUGUUUAUUUUCAAGAGUUAAAUAGGCUUAACUACAAUUAACCAUCAAUAUAAACAAACAAAUAAAAUAAACAAAUAAAUAAAUAAAUAACUAUAUAAAUAUGUGUACUGUAUUGUGCUCUCACUUAAACUGUCAAAGUGUGGGAACUGGAAUUUAAACACCCCGUAACAUGUCACCCAAUAAGAAGAACUUUAUUCAUGUAGCACCUGUAGCUGUCGUAACUACACACCUCUGCACCAACGGUCCCUCUGACCACUACCAUGCAUUCACACACAUCAUUUAUCCUGGCCUAUUGUACAUGUUUUUAGUUGUAGAGGAAACUGGAGCACCCAGAGGAAACCUACGCAAGCACAGGGAGACCAUGCAAACUCCACAUACUAAGACCCCAGGUGGGAAUCAGACCCCGACCUUCUAGCUGUGAAGCACGAGCGCUAACCGCUGCGCUAAUGCCGCCCAAAUAAGUAGAAUAAAAUAGAAUUAGGUUACAGAUGGUUUAAUUGGUGAAAAAUACCUAAAAAAAUAAUGAACUGAAUCUGUAAUCUAGUGAAUUUAAGGUUAUUUGAUGUUUUAGGUUUACAUGAACAUGAACACAGGCAUGAGGUAUGUUUCAUUAUCUGUUCUGUGUUUUUGUUUGUACCUACCUUGCCUACCUGCAAAGACAAAUUUCUCCAUAAGGAGAAUAUGAAAAAUAUUAUAUUCUGUUACUGUAACUACAGUAUGCUGUAAUGUAAGCAAAGUUCCAACUCGUCUCCAUGGAGAUGCUACGUCAAGGGAAAUUACUUUAAAAUAUUGUAAAUGUCAGUCGAUUUAAGUGAUUUAUGAAUUUACUAGUUAUAUAAAAAGAACAUGUAGACAUUUGCAAACAACAUUAAAGCUGCAGUUCUGUUUGGUUCGAGUUUGACAGUUUUCUCUUUUUACAGAUGGGGAUCAAAAAGUAUCGACAUCGAUUCUUUUAAUUUGUUGACACAUCUGCGAAAUCAUUCAAGACAACUUCAGUCAAGACUGAAGAAGAUGAAUUUGAAAAAGGUGCCAAUAUUUGUCAAAUGUGGCUCAUAGCCCUUACCACUUUGUCUCAGGCUCACCAGGCUAAGAUGAUACUUUAAAGGCCCUAUACCUGUAUACCUUUUUUAUUUAUUACAAUGAAAGUUUAGACUUAUAUUAGUAGACUGUCACUCCUCCCCAUUUACGCCAUUGGUCCCAACGUUCCUACCCCAUUUCUAACAUCCCAGUUAUUCACAGGAAUGAGCUUAAAAACACAUUUCACAACUUUCAUUGUCACUGUCACAGUAAUGCUAACAAAAACAUCCAGUCUUGUUUUUCACAAACCGCUGACUGCAUAUUCAAAUACUGAAGGAGGACAAUUACAGGGCCUUUAAGUGGUAGCUGUUGAAAUGUUUAAAUUUGCAGAAACAGAAAGCAAUGGUCUAAGCUUAAAAGCAAUAGUGUAAACUUUGGACAGCCUGUUCACAAGAAGUUAUGUUCUGAUCCAUUUCUGCAUAAUGUAGAAAUGGAUUAUUUUCAGUUGCCAAUUUGCUUUAUAAUAGAGAGUCCUUCACACUUCUCAAGACUUGCUGUAUUGUACUGAUAGCUUUGUUAAGCAUUCACAGAUCUUAUUUAAUUUUGUGCGCCGCAGAAUGUAGUGUUAGCUUCAAUAGAUUCACUGUCACAUAACGCUGUUGUGUCUUUUGCCUUUCUGUCUGCAUGUCUGGAAUUAAGAUGCAGUUAAUGCAGUUCUGUGCUCGCUCUAAUGACGUCAUCCAUCUCUGCUGUGUUUGUACCAGAACCUUCAACAGUCUUUACCUCUAAACACCUUCUAACCAACUCCUCCAGUCCGGUAACCCCCCUGGCUUAUUAGACUCUGUUUCUGUAAUGAUAUGCAAUAAUAUACAAACAACACACUGUAUACUUGUCAUACUUGUGCUUCCCUUCUAUUAAACGUUGCACUGUUGCUCUGACUGCAUGCACUUCACUCCGCUGCUCACAAGAUGGCACCUGAAGAUGACAUUUCAUCACAUAGAGGCCUUGUACUGUAGUGAGUACUGUACUUGCACUGUACAUGUUCUGAUAUGUAAGGCUUUGUAAAUAAAUACGGCUGAAAAACGUG